This 165-nucleotide non-coding RNA is filed under the name Legionella quinlivanii. RNAcentral describes it as "6S / SsrS RNA". It matches the Rfam family "6S / SsrS RNA". From Rfam's summary of the family: E. coli 6S RNA was the first non coding RNA to be sequenced, but its function was unknown until recently. Lineage: Bacteria; Pseudomonadati; Pseudomonadota; Gammaproteobacteria; Legionellales; Legionellaceae. The record is from Rfam by way of RNAcentral.
AUAUAACAAAGGUAUUCUUGCUCGGCUAACAGCCUACUUAUGGAGCCAGAACCUAGAUGCGGUGUGCAAGCUUAACUCGAAUUAAGAAGCCUGAAGCAUCUAAUAGGGCGACCACAUUGGAACCUAGAACCGCAGCAAGAAUACCUUUAUCUCUUUUGUGAUUCC